Long non-coding RNA from Mercurialis annua (annual mercury), 1090 nucleotides. RefSeq lists it as uncharacterized. NCBI's taxonomy places the organism in Eukaryota, Viridiplantae, Streptophyta, Magnoliopsida, Malpighiales, Euphorbiaceae. The record is from RefSeq and is a predicted model, not a curated record. The transcript is spliced from 2 exons.
UCAAAAAUUUGUACUGUUCUAAAUCACCAAUUCAGCUUUUUUAUUCCAAAAAUACUCAACAAUAAUUUCUUACUCAGUCGUGAAAAAAUCUCAAAAACCUGACAUUUAAUCAAUUUAUGUUUUUGGCAGUUAAAAUUUGACCACUUUGUAAUUUUUUGGCAAUUCAAAUUCAUAAUCAAGUUUGGUGUACUAUCUGAAUUAAGCAUCUGUUUUGUUUGCUUUCCUGCCACCACCCUUCUCGGCCGCUUUCCCGUUUCCGCCGAUAACCGUAAUUUGCCCUUCCGCCAUUUGCUGCGCAGAGUUGAAGAAAAAUUAUUCAACAAAUUGUAGAAAAUUGAUUCAACAAAUUGCAGAUUUGGUUUUGAAAAUGACUUGAUCUUCAAUUAAGGUACAAUAUCGCUACCAUCAUAUUUUGAUAAAUCUUAAUGUCUCUCAAUAUACUUUUUAAGGAAUUUUUUGAAUUCCGGUUAUGUUUUUUUUAUCGAGUUGAGUAAAAUAUUAGACGUGUAUGAAGCUUACCUCGUGUCUGAACUCAUCUGGAAGAAUUUAAACUUGAGGUCAGACUAAACACUCGACGGAUUCCUAAGAUUACUUUGUGUUUAAACUUAUCAAACAGAUUCCUUCUCGAGGUAAGCUCAUUAAUACUCGUCGAUAUUUCGCUUACCUCGAGCAUAAACUUAUGGGGUAACACACAAUUCGUGGUGAGGCUGAAAACUCGAAGAGUGUUUAGCCUCACCUCGCGUUUUACUGUUGCCAGAUGGUCUCAAACUCGAGGUAAGCUUUAUACUCGUCAAUUAUAUUUCCUACCUCAAGUUUGAACUAAUCUGUUUAAGUUCAAAUUACUUGAGGUUAGUAUGCUAACUCGACGAGUGUUCAGCCUUACCUCGAGUUUUCCUAUUAUCAGAUGGUCCCAAUCUCGUGGUAAUAAUUAUAAUCAACGAGUAUAAAGUUUACCUCGAUUUGGAAGUUAGUUGGAUUAGUUCGAACUCGAGUAUACUCGACGAAUUUGAUGUACUUCCUUGUGAUCUUAGAUUUUGUAAUGAUUUUACCUUGUGUUAAAUAUCAAAUUAAUAUGAAAUACUUGCAAUAA